UACGAAGGGGGCUAGCGUUGCUCGGAAUCACUGGGCGUAAAGGGUGCGUAGGCGGGUCUUUAAGUCAGGGGUGAAAUCCUGGAGCUCAACUCCAGAACUGCCUUUGAUACUGAAGAUCUUGAGUUCGGGAGAGGUGAGUGGAACUGCGAGUGUAGAGGUGAAAUUCGUAGAUAUUAGGAAGAACACCAGUGGCGAAGGCGGCUCACUGGCCCGGUACUGACGCUCAUGUGCGAAAGCUAGGGGAGCAAACGGG
RNAcentral lists this ribosomal RNA (253 nucleotides) under uncultured bacterium. RNAcentral's name for it is "partial 16S ribosomal RNA". It matches the Rfam family "Bacterial small subunit ribosomal RNA", at positions 524 to 776 of the family's 1533-position model. The record is from RNAcentral.